AUCGUAAAGNUCUNUGUAAGAGAAAAACGAUGGAUAUAGGAAAUGAUGNCCAAGUGAUGGUAUCUUACCAGAANNNACGGCUAACUACGUGCCAGCAGCCGCGGUAAUACGUAGGUGGCAAGCGUUAUCCGGAAUGAUUGGGCGUAAAGGGUGCGUAGGUGGUGCAUUAAGUCUGAAGUAAAAGCCAGCAGCUCAACUGCUGUAAGCUUUGGAAACUGGUGUACUAGAGUGCAGGAGAGGGCGAUGGAAUUCCAUGUGUAGCGGUAAAAUGCGUAGAUAUAUGGAGGAACACCAGUGGCGAAGGCGGUCGCCUGGCCUGUAACUGACACUGAGGCACGAAAGCGUGGGGAGCAAAUAGGAUUAGAUACCCUAGUAGUCCACGCCGUAAACGAUGAGAACUAAGUGUUGGAGAGAUUCAGUGCUGCAGUUAACGCAAUAAGUUCUCCGCCUGGGGAGUAUGCACGCAAGUGUGAAACUCAAAGGAAUUGACGGGGGCCCGCACAAGCGGUGGAGUAUGUGGUUUAAUUCGAAGCAACGCGAAGAACCUUACCAGGCCUUGACAUGGAUAUAAAUGUUCUAGAGAUAGAAAGAUAGCUAUAUAUCACACAGGUGGUGCAUGGUUGUCGUCAGCUCGUGUCGUGAGAUGUUGGGUUAAGUCCCGCAACGAGCGCAACCCUUGUCGCAUGUUACCAGCAUUCAGUUGGGGACUCAUGUGAGACUGCCGGUGACAAACCGGAGGAAGGUGGGGAUGACGUCAAAUCAUCAUGCCCCUUAUGGCCUGGGCUACACACGUACUACAAUGGCGUCUACAAAGAGGAGCGACACAGUGAUGUGAAGCAAAUCUCAUAAAGGACGUCUCAGUUCGGAUUGAAGUCUGCAACUCGACUUCAUGAAGUCGGAAUCGCUAGUAAUCGCAGAUCAGCAUGCUGCGGUGAAUACGUUCUCGGGCCUUGUACACACCGCCCGUCAAACCAUGGGAGUUGGUAAUACCCGAAGCCGGUGGCAUAACCGCA
Molecule: ribosomal RNA, 1013 nt
Filed under: Amedibacillus dolichus
Lineage: Bacteria; Bacillati; Bacillota; Erysipelotrichia; Erysipelotrichales; Erysipelotrichaceae
Also listed under: 1 other name
Description: bacterial SSU rRNA
Rfam family: Bacterial small subunit ribosomal RNA
Source: RNAcentral